Solea senegalensis (Senegalese sole) is the source of this 2889-nucleotide long non-coding RNA. RefSeq lists it as uncharacterized. The transcript is spliced from 3 exons. Lineage: Eukaryota; Metazoa; Chordata; Actinopteri; Pleuronectiformes; Soleidae. The record is from RefSeq and is a predicted model, not a curated record.
GCAGCCGCACCAGUUGCGCUACAAGAGGGCGAAACAAUACUCGCUAAGUGUGCCGGGCUGUGCGGGCAUCUACAGGCAAGGGAAGUGCACAGGCACCUACCUGAUAGUAGCGGAGACAGGACACAGAGGCGCGCCGUACACGCCACGCCAAACAAUUCACCGCACCAACGCCAACCGGAAGUCACUCGCCGGAAGCAUAAAGGGCGCACGAUCUCAUCCUAGGUGUAUUUGUACGCCCCUCGGCCUGUCAAUCACUGCCGGCUCAAUCACGAUUCGGCUACAUAGUGCACUCUCAGGGACUAGCUCUCUCUCGCUCUCUCUCUCUGAGUGAAUGGUGGGAGUGAGCGUGGUCAGGGUGAGUGGUUUUCUAACUUUUCCGACUUAUUCUAUCCUCUUCUUUAUUGCUGCUUGGUGGUUUUUUGUUGAUGUGGCAAUACGUAGUUCAUUGUCCUGGUAACUGUCAGGUGUGCUGCAGUUCCACCCAAUCACCGUGGGAGACUGCCACAUAAAGGCGGGCGUAAAGCACCUGUCAGCCCUUUGCUUGCUGGAGGCUGGGUCUUGUCACUCCUGUGCUUCCUCCAUUUCCGUGUUCGGGUGGUUACAGGUGGGCUGCCGGCUGCACUUCUCACGUAUGUCGCCCAUCCAGUACUAAUGUUAUUGUUUUAUAAAGGUCCACCUGGGUGUCGCUGCUGGCUGCGCACUGUUCACCACGAAGACACACUGGGUGACACAUUGGAGGACACACAGGAAGACACAUUGGGUGACACACAGGAAGACACUCUGGAGGACACACUGGGAGACACACAGAGCACACAGGGUGAUGAGGAGGCCGGGGAGACAGUGAUUACUCCUUCUCUCGUGUAAGAAAGUUUUUAGCUGACACAAAAGGAGAGAAGGGAGUGAACAUUGAGGAGUUCUUCCCUAACCUGCAUCUCUUCGGUCUGUCGGUGAGGUCUCUGAUGAAGAACAAAGGAGACCUCGGUCAUCCUGCUUUUAUUGAAAGAAAAUUUUAACAAAAAUCGAUUUCAGCUAGAGAAGGAAAACGAUGGAUGAGUGUGUUUAUUUUUUCUUUCGUUAGUUUGGUGUGUGUGUGUUUUUCUUUGUUUGCAGCUCUUUUUUAAUCAUGUGUGACAUCAAACUGGGCUCUUUAAACAUUAACGGUGCUCGUCAGGACACAAAGAGAGCUGCACUUUUUAAUUUGAUCCAAACUUAACAACUGAAUGUCACUUUUAUUCAGGAGACACACAGCACCUCUGACAUUGAGUGUGACUGGAGAAGAGAGUGGAAUGGGGAGAUGGUUUUAAGUCACAGGGACAGUAACAGUGGGGGGGGGUCGGGAUUCUCUUCUCCAGAGAAUUCACACCUUUUAACUUCACUGUAGACGAGGUCAUUCCAGGCCAACUUUUAAAAGUGACUGCUCAGUUUGAGAGGAUGAAACUGGUUUUUAUAAAUGUAUAUGUAACCGGGUGGUUAUUGGCUGUAUAAAUGUAUAUAUUGUAUUUCCCUUCUGUGUCUUUUAGUUAUGUUGCAGCAGGUCUGGCGAUUGCAGCAGGUGUGUGUCACGCCCCUUACCGGCACCUGUAGUGCAGCCGCGUCAUGGGCUGCUAAUGCAGACCUGUUCAUAUAGUCCCGUGGUUGUUCAGUCUCUCUCUCUCCUCUGCCAAGUAUGUGCCAUGUGUUCGCUCUCCAGGUUGGCGUGUAUGCCGUGAUGGUGUGUGUGUGUCCCCUUCCGGUUAGCCACCGCUGCCGCCGCUAGCUUCUGACGGCUUCAUUAUUUAUUGGUGCAGGCUACAGCCCGCCAUGCAGCCUGCCUGGCGUUAGGUUGCUGUUGUUGCCCUGCCUUGCCUCUUGCCUUUAUCUCCACGUUUUGUUUCUUUUUGUUGCCUUGCUCAUAGUUGCUCUGCCCUUGUCAGUUAGACGCUCGUUUUAAAGUAGUGUACUGUAGUUCAAGACUGACUGACCGCGACUCCUUAGUGGGGGGGGUGGGAAGUAGCACAGCUUUGAGGACCUGCAAAAGUUAUGCAUGUAGCAUUAUGGUUUUGUUUUCUUUUGUGUUGAUUUGAGUUUGUUUGAUAUUUUGGUUUCUUUUCUCUUUGUUUGCUGUGCAGGACCUCAGCUUAGUUAUUUCCUCAGUCUCAACUUAAGCUGAGUCUGUGGUACAGAUUAAUAUUGUGCUCUUUGGAAAUAAAAAUAACUAUAAUUGUUUUUUACAGUAGAUAAGUAACUUAAAUAAAUUAAUGUUUCCAUUUGUGACUAAAAUAAAACUUGUUAAACUUUCUAUAAACCGUGCCUGUAUUCAUUUGUGUACCGACCUGUGCUCUGAGAAAGUAAAGUUUGAAAAAGAGUAAAUUCUUUAGGUGCAAGUCCUAAGGUGGCGUUGUUGGUGUAACUCCCUAGAUCAUCCUUUUAUCUAUCGCCCCCACCACAUUUUGGCGUUGUCGGCAGGAUGAUCACAAUCAGGCACGGUGUAGUUUUAUUGUCGUAACUUUAUUUUAAGCGAAGCAGAGCAAGCUUUAGUGGUUUAGCAGGCAAAGUUUGUUUUUUUUCUUUUGUUUGGAGGCAAGGCAGUGGCUCGGGCUGCGGACCGCCCUCCAGGCCGACAGCCGAGGUUCUCCAGGAUGUCGCAGGAACCGCUGGACCUCCAGGCCCUCCAGGGUCGGAUGGAGCAGCUCCAGGCCGAAAAUGACCGCCUACGACGGGAUCGGGAUGCGGCCCAGGCGGGCUCCAGUUCAAGUGGACUGUUGGUGGACUCUGCCGCACCUGAGCGUGUGGUGUAUCUCCCACGCGAGAGACGAUGUCCUGUCUUCAGAGGCAGCCACGGUAUUGGUAUCGAUGAGUGGAUGCUUGUAUGCUUGUUAUGCGCCAAUGACACCAGAACAAAUUCCUUGU